RNAcentral lists this transfer RNA (72 nucleotides) under Penaeus vannamei (Pacific white shrimp). RNAcentral's name for it is "transfer RNA tryptophan (anticodon CCA)". It matches the Rfam family "tRNA". Rfam says of the family: Transfer RNA (tRNA) molecules are approximately 80 nucleotides in length. Their secondary structure includes four short double-helical elements and three loops (D, anti-codon, and T loops). Lineage: Eukaryota; Metazoa; Arthropoda; Malacostraca; Decapoda; Penaeidae. The record is from Rfam by way of RNAcentral.
GUCACUGUAGUGCAGUGGUUAGCACGGUCGCCUCCAAAGGGACAGACUCGGGUUCGAUCCCCGACGGAGACC